This 447-nucleotide ribosomal RNA is filed under the name uncultured bacterium. RNAcentral describes it as "partial 16S ribosomal RNA". It matches the Rfam family "Bacterial small subunit ribosomal RNA", at positions 329 to 793 of the family's 1533-position model. The record is from RNAcentral.
UGCCAGACUCCUACGGGAGGCAGCAGUGGGGGAUAUUGCACAAUGGGGGAAACCCUGAUGCAGCAACGCCGCGUGAGUGAAGAAGUAUUUCGAUAUGUAAAGCUCUAUCAGCAGGGAAGAAGAUGACGGUACCUGAGUAAGAAGCCCCGGCUAACUACGUGCCAGCAGCCGCGGUAAUACGUAGGGGGCAAGCGUUAUCCGGAUUUACUGGGCGUAAAGGGAGCGCAGGCGGCGCGCCAAGUCUGAUGUGAAACCCCCGGGCUCAACCCCGGGCAUGCAUUGGAAACUGGCGGGCUGGAGUGCCGGAGAGGUAAGCGGAAUUCCUAGUGUAGCGGUGAAAUGCGUAGAUAUUAGGAGGAACACCAGUGGCGAAGGCGGCUUACUGGACGGCAACUGACGCUGAGGCUCGAAAGCGUGGGGAGCAAACAGGAUUAGAUACCCGCGUAC